AACCUACGGGGGGCAGCAGUGGGGAAUAUUGGGCAAUGGGCGCAAGCCUGACCCAGCAACGCCGCGUGAAGGAAGAAGGCCCUCGGGUUGUAAACUUCUUUUAACAGGGGCGAAACAAAUGACGGUACCUGUUGAAUAAGCCACGGCUAACUACGUGCCAGCAGCCGCGGUAAUACGUAGGUGGCAAGCGUUAUCCGGAUUUACUGGGCGUAAAGGGCGUGUAGGCGGGAAUGCAAGUCAGAUGUGAAAACUCAGGGCUCAACCCUGAGCCUGCAUUUGAAACUGUAUUUCUUGAGUGCUGGAGA
Molecule: ribosomal RNA, 305 nt
Filed under: uncultured bacterium
Lineage: Bacteria
Description: bacterial SSU rRNA
Rfam family: Bacterial small subunit ribosomal RNA
Source: RNAcentral